RNAcentral lists this ribosomal RNA (254 nucleotides) under uncultured bacterium. RNAcentral's name for it is "partial 16S ribosomal RNA". It matches the Rfam family "Bacterial small subunit ribosomal RNA", at positions 524 to 776 of the family's 1533-position model. The record is from RNAcentral.
CACGUAGGCACCAAGCGUUGUCCGGAUUUAUUGGGCGUAAAGAGCUCGUAGGCGGUUCAGUAAGUCGGGUGUGAAAACUCUGGGCUCAACCCAGAGACGCCACCCGAUACUGCUGUGACUUGAGUACGGUAGGGGAGCGGGGAAUUCCUGGUGUAGCGGUGAAAUGCGCAGAUAUCAGGAGGAACACCAGUGGCGAAGGCGCCGCUCUGGGCCGUAACUGACGCUGAGGAGCGAAAGCGUGGGGAGCAAACAGG